UGGGGAAUAUUGGACAAUGGGCGAAAGCCUGAUCCAGCCAUGCCGCGUGUGUGAAGAAGGUCUUCGGAUUGUAAAGCACUUUAAGUUGGGAGGAAGGGCAUUAACCUAAUACGUUAGUGUUUUGACGUUACCGACAGAAUAAGCACCGGCUAACUCUGUGCCAGCAGCCGCGGUAAUACAGAGGGUGCAAGCGUUAAUCGGAAUUACUGGGCGUAAAGCGCGCGUAGGUGGUUUGUUAAGUUGGAUGUGAAAUCCCCGGGCUCAACCUGGGAACUGGAUUCAAAACUGACUGACUAGAGUAUGGUAGAGGGUGGUGGAAUUUCCUGUGUAGCGGUGAAAUGCGUAGAUAUAGGGAGGAACACCAGUGGCGAAGGCGACCACCUGGACUAAUACUGACACUGAGGUGCGAAAGCGUGGGGAGCAAACA
Molecule: ribosomal RNA, 427 nt
Filed under: uncultured bacterium
Lineage: Bacteria
Description: partial 16S ribosomal RNA
Rfam family: Bacterial small subunit ribosomal RNA
Source: RNAcentral